GAUGAACGCUGGCGGCGUGCCUAAUACAUGCAAGUCGAGCGAACGGACGAGAAGCUUGCUUCUCUGAUGUUAGCGGCGGACGGGUGAGUAACACGUGGAUAACCUACCUAUAAGACUGGGAUAACUUCGGGAAACCGGAGCUAAUACCGGAUGAUAUUUUGAACCGCAUGGUUCAAAAGUGAAAGACGGUCUUGCUGUCACUUAUAGAUGGAUCCGCGCUGCAUUAGCUAGUUGGUAAGGUAACGGCUUACCAAGGCAACGAUGCAUAGCCGACCUGAGAGGGUGAUCGGCCACACGGGAACUGAGACACGGUCCAGACUCCUACGGGAGGCAGCAGUAGGGAAUCUUCCGCAAUGGGCCAAAGCCUGACGGAGCAACGCCGCGUGAGUGAUGAAGGUCUUCGGAUCGUAAAACUCUGUUAUUAGGGAAGAACAUAUGUGUAAGUAACUGUGCACAUCUUGACGGUACCUAAUCAGAAAGCCACGGCUAACUACGUG
This 497-nucleotide ribosomal RNA is filed under the name uncultured bacterium. RNAcentral's name for it is "partial 16S ribosomal RNA". It matches the Rfam family "Bacterial small subunit ribosomal RNA", at positions 28 to 507 of the family's 1533-position model. The record is from RNAcentral.